AAUCAAACAAUAUUAAAAAUGAAUGACUUAGUAGACAAUACAACUCAUUUUAUUCCAACUAUGGAGGGAGAAGAUAAUAAUGGGGUUAACAAUAAACAUAACCAUAAACUUAGUAACAAACUUAAUAACAAAUUUAACGAUGAAAAUGAAGAUAACAAUCAAAUUUAUGAUAAAAGAGAUGAACAACUAGAGGAUCAAACAUAUAUAGACGAACACUCUAUCGCUUCUGACGACGUCUACACGAAUAUAAACGGAUACAACUUUAGGCUUCUUGAAGAUAAUGUCUUAUAUACAAAACCAAAGUCUCCCAUUAAUAAUAUGCUAUAUGAAUGGGAUGAUUCGUUGGAUUGUAAUUGGAGGAAGAGAGCUACUGAAGUAAUUCGUGACGUUAUAAUGUAUGAUUAUCCAUUUAAAGAAGUUAGAAGGCCAUCCAAUUUAGAUUUAUAUGAUAUCACAUGGUAUGCAGGUAAAAUAAAUAUUUUUGUUGUUCCGGAAAAACAGACAAACAGAGAUGGCAGUAGUAGCAGUAGCAACAAAAAUGUAACACUAUUCGAUUUAAAACAAUUAGUAAAAAAAAUAGCUGAACGGUUAAAACAAUUAGAAAUCGAUGAGGAAAUUUUGAUUUUACCAUUUUUCGAAUUAGUCGUUUCUUCUCUUCCCAGUAAAAAUAUUUUAAUUUGUCGUAAAGAUUGGAAUAAUAAUAUAGGAAAUGAAGUUAUUGUUUAUUUUAAAAAUAAUUUAUAUGAGCCGAUUAAAGGUGUUCUGUUGGGCUCACCAUCUGUUUUCCAUUUAAUAUUAAACAUAAAAAAUGAAAGAAUAGAAAAUAUAUUUAUUAAUUUAAUUGAUAAAGUUGUACUUAAAAAUACCAAAGAUGACUUACAAAAUAAUAUUCGUUUAAAUGCGGCUAUUAAACAAGGGGAUAGCGAUUCAUACAUAGUAAACGAUAUUCCAACUGCUACCGCAACAAGUACCGCAACAAGUACCGCAACAAGUACCGCAACAAGUGUUGCUACAAGUACUGCUACAAGUGUUGCUACAAAUGCGUUCGACGUAACACAACAAGAACAAACAAAGAAAAAUCAACAUGAAGAAAAAAAAAACAAACAAAUUUUAAAAGUAAAUGAAUUUGAUGAAUUAGAACAAUUAAAGAACAUAAAAAAAAAACCAAGUAAUAAUAAUUACAAACAAUUCAAUUUACUUAAAAAUAUUAACACAUUAGAUAAUUUUUAUGAUGACUAUAAUUUAAUAAAGCAGUCUGGAGACAUUGACGACGAUGAUAGUAAUGAUGAUGAUGACCAGGAGGACGCCGAAGAAUAUGAUGAAGUUGAAGAUCUUGACGACGUCCACGAAUUUGAUCAUACUGAUGAUAUUUCAAAUUAAAAUAAAACGUAAAAAAACAAAAAAAAAAAAAAAAAA
This 1416-nucleotide long non-coding RNA is filed under the name Piliocolobus tephrosceles (Ugandan red Colobus). RNAcentral describes it as "lncRNA (ENSPTEG00000002388.1)". Lineage: Eukaryota; Metazoa; Chordata; Mammalia; Primates; Cercopithecidae. The record is from RNAcentral.